AGAACUUAGCAGAGAUGCUUUGGUGCCUUCGGGAACUCUGAGACAGGUGCUGCAUGGCUGUCGUCAGCUCGUGUUGUGAAAUGUUGGGUUAAGUCCCGCAACGAGCGCAACCCUUAUCCUUUGUGCCAGCGGUUAGGCCGGGAACUCAAAGGAGACUGCCAGUGAUAAACUGGAGGAAGGUGGGGAUGACGUCAAGUCAUCAUGGCCCUUACGAGUAGGGCUACACACGUGCUACAAUGGCGCAUACAAAGAGAAGCGACCUCGCGAGAGCAAGCGGACCUCAUAAAGUGCGUCGUAGUCCGGAUUGGAGUCUGCAACUCGACUCCAUGAAGUCGGAAUCGCUAGUAAUCGUGGAUCAGAAUGCCACGGUGAAUACGUUCCCGGGCCUUGUACACACCGCCCGUCACACCAUGGGAGUGGGUUGCAAAAGAAGUAGGUAGCUUAACCUUCGGGAGGGCGCUUACCACUUUGUGAUUCAUGACUGGGGUGAAGUCGUAACAAGGUAGGCGUAGUGCU
This 516-nucleotide ribosomal RNA is filed under the name uncultured bacterium. RNAcentral describes it as "bacterial SSU rRNA". It matches the Rfam family "Bacterial small subunit ribosomal RNA", at positions 992 to 1509 of the family's 1533-position model. The record is from RNAcentral.